RNAcentral lists this ribosomal RNA (450 nucleotides) under uncultured bacterium. Its description in RNAcentral is "partial 16S ribosomal RNA". It matches the Rfam family "Bacterial small subunit ribosomal RNA", at positions 354 to 796 of the family's 1533-position model. The record is from RNAcentral.
GUGGGGAAUAUUCCGCAAUGGACGAAAGUCUGACGGAGCAACGCCGCGUGAGUGAUGAAGGUUUUCGGACUGUAAAGCUCUGUUGUUUAGGACGAAAGUGCCUGUUGCAAAUAGUUACAGGUAUUGACGGUACUGAACGAGGAAGCCACGGCUAACUACGUGCCAGCAGCCGCGGUAAUACGUAGGUGGCAAGCGUUGUCCGGAAUUAUUGGGCGUAAAGAGCAUGUAGGCGGGAAUCUAAGUCUGUUGUGAAAAUGCGGGGCUCAACCCCGUAUUGCGAUGGAAACUGGGGUUCUUGAGUGCAGGAGAGGAAAGGGGAAUUCCCAGUGUAGCGGUGAAAUGCGUAGAUAUUGGGAGGAACACCAGUGGCGAAGGCGCCUUUCUGGACUGUGUCUGACGCUGAGAUGCGAAAGCCAGGGUAGCGAACGGGAUUAGAAACCCCGGUAGUCC